CGAAGUCGAUGGUAGUAAAACGCACGCAACGUAACAGCGAAGUUACUUUUGAGGCAUUAAGUAUAACACUAGCUUAGGAGUUAUGAUGGAUAUUUGUUGCUAAAGCAAACGUGGAAUAAGUGAACAUUGAACUUUUUUCAAACAUGGUUGACAGAAACUUUUCUCACACGACGCGGCUGAGGUUGUCGCCGCUCGUGCUCACGGACAGUGUCGGGGUAAAUUGGAUAUUCUCAUUGUGCUGCAUUAUCUUGAUACUAAGUGUGUUCGCUCCGUCCCACGUAGAGGCGAUGCCCGGUCCGUUCCUGUGUAAUUCGCAGAUCACGUGCCUCAAUGGCGGCACACUCGUAACCCCGGAUAACCCAUUUGACUUUUGUCGGUGCCAUUGCCCCAAGCGAUUCGCUGGAUUGCACUGCGAGUUCACCCGAAAGGUCCAACGAAAUGACAGAUUAAAACGAUUGGUCAGGAUUAAAAAUGAAAUUGCCGCCAUUUUAAACCAGCGUCACUUACGGAGAUGACCAUAGCCCACGUGAUAUUAGUUUAUUUAUUUAUUCGUAUAAAACGGGUCACCAUUUUCGAGUCGUGUUGCGCGAGGGACGGGAAAGAAAACAGGCCAGUCGGAUUGACCUAUUCAAACUCCACGAAAUCAUUACAAACUGGUGGUGAUGCCAGAAGGCGCCAAACACUAUCAUAAAAACCACUUCCGCUUCCAACUAUAUUCUCUGAAAUUGCAAACUGUGAUGAGGCACGAAUACAUGAGCGUUGAUGAAAAGUAUCCAUGGACAUAUUUCCAUUAAACCGGUGUCAUUUAAGACAAGGAAAAAUUAACUCAGCGGGUUUAUUCAUAACUUAGCCAACCUGUAAACACCCGGAUGUUUCCAUUCAUAUCACUUCAUUUACGGAAGGUAAGGGACAAUCAACCAUGAAAUACGUGGAUUUUUUAUAGAUGAAUUGAAGAUAGUGCUUGGAAACCUAUUGACGUGGACAUUAUCAGGAUGUCUUCACACAAUAGGACGCUGUCCCCAGGGAUGAAGACCGAUAUCGCGCCUUAGAAAGUUUUUAAUUGAAUACACGAAUUAUUACAAAGGCCGCAUUAAUCCUAUAGACACGCACAUAAAGACGGUGAUGGAAGUGUUUUUCAGGCAUGAAUGUUCGGCGAAAACUCGUCUCUCAAGGAUUAUCACAGUUCCGGACACUGAUAUUUACGAUACCCUCGCGACUCCUCGCAUUUAUAGAAACUUCCGAAUAUCAGAAAAAUGCAGAUUAAUCUAGAAUUGUUAAGAAAUCCGCGUUUGAUUAUGUGCAACAACAAGUCUGUUGUCUUUAAAUUAUGUAUUUUGUUUGUUCUACCUUGUCUUUCAUAUCCUUCGGGAAACUUGUUUUAUUUAUAGAUAUUUAUUUUAUUAUUUAAAUCGUUCAAAUCUGUCAUCUUUUUGCUCACGUUUCAAAUACUCACUACCGUACAGCAAUAUCACAUUCCAGUUGCAUUUUUAUGUCCCAUCACCUCAUCGACGUUUCAUGAUUUUUAUUUUACCGAUUUUUUAUUUAUAGCUUACGCUCUGUUUGACAUUAGUGUAGCUCUUUUUGUAGAAGUUGUAGUUAUUUUGGUCUGAUUUAAGACUCUUAUAGUGCCAUAAAUUUUUCCAGCGUUUGUUCAAUAUGUUUGAAAUAAAAACAGACUUAAACCUAGUUCCAUUCGGAACAUUUGUUUUAAAUCAAGGGCCAAAAUGAAUAUAUAGCGACUUAUUGUACCUACGUUUGGAUUCAUAUAUCAACUCUUAAAAUAAAAAUGUUUUUUUAUAAGAACGGCACAUCGUAUAACUCAAAACUAAACUUUUUUUUACUUACAAUACAUUUUGAUCGAAAAUUUGUUUAAAUGGCAAAACGCCGGUUCAUGUGAUUUAUAUUUGUCUAUUUUGUCGCUUCAAAGACAUAGUUUUUACGUUUAUUUGUAUACUAUUUAUCAUUUUUGACAUUUUUCAUCUUAUUUAUGUCAUUUGUCUAAUUUUCACAGUUUUCUAGUCCAACACUCAUAUAAACCAUUAAACACAUUUAGAUAUUAAAUGGUACCGAAUGAACGUUUAAAAUGAUAUUCACACUUAAACUCUUUUUAUCUGGACAUGACAAGAAAGAAGAACGCAUUUCCAGCUCAGAGAUCACUUUCAGAGCAUGACCUUACACUUUACUAUUUGGCUCUGGUGACAUAGCACUGAUGUACCCCAUGUUCUCAGGCUACACGCAACCAAAUCUACCCCUCCAUUCGGACAUCUUAUGUUCCAAAUCUCCUGUUGUCACAUCACCCCCACAUCGUUUCAUUAAUUUAUUUCUCAUACUUUGUGCCAUUUACUCUCGCGGACCCCACUCGCUUUUGUCACUCAUGUUAUUUAAGCCACCAUUGUUCGUCUCAUAGUUGUGUUACGAUGUUUUAUUACCUCCCCAGCGGAGAUUCGCUUUCAAUUUGUUUAAAUACAACAGGCUAGAAUCAGAACUUUGAAAUGUCAAUAUACAUCCAUACAUCCCCAGCAAUUCAAACAGUUAAACAUUUUAAUGCAGAUAUUCGGUAGGCACGUAUUGUACUGCAUUUGACAGAUAAUAAAAAUCUCUAUGUGAUAUAUAUUCUCUUGAGGGGUAUUUUAAAUAAAAUGUAUUUUACAUAAUUCUCUGGAUUACAGUGUAAUGAGAGAAACAGAAGUACGUUUGAUGACAAUGUUUCAAAGUUUAAUUUGGAAACAUGAGAACAUCUUAUAUUCUUUGUAAAGGACUUCAAAGUCCCGUUGAGAGAAGAAAUGAUGAAAUAAAAAAAGUAAAACUUAA
This is a long non-coding RNA of Dreissena polymorpha, 2811 nucleotides long. RefSeq lists it as uncharacterized. The transcript has 2 exons. NCBI's taxonomy places the organism in Eukaryota, Metazoa, Mollusca, Bivalvia, Myida, Dreissenidae. The record is from RefSeq and is a predicted model, not a curated record.